Brienomyrus brachyistius is the source of this 655-nucleotide long non-coding RNA. RefSeq lists it as uncharacterized. The transcript is spliced from 2 exons. The record is from RefSeq and is a predicted model, not a curated record. NCBI's taxonomy places the organism in Eukaryota, Metazoa, Chordata, Actinopteri, Osteoglossiformes, Mormyridae.
AUUUAGCAGCCAAGCAGAAUGCUUGGAAUGAAGAGACCAUAGCUGUCCACAUGGGUCUCUCUCUUGAAGGCAAGGUGCUUCAGAUCCUUCUUGGUGUGCUUCACAAGUGCAUCCUCCUCCAGUAGGAAAUGCAGUUCCUGGGCAUCGCCAUAGACCCAGGGAAGGAGGCAGCAGUGGAGUAUUGGUCUGUCUCACAGCCACAGACAGAACUGUGUAGCUUCUUGGCAUUUGCUGUCUACUAUCGGUACUUCAUCUGCGGGUUCGCAGGCUUUGCGGCCCUUCUUCACCAGCUGACUCACAACGUUUGCCUGUCUGCUGCAGACAGUUUGUGUGUUUGGCAUCGUAUGUGAAAUUCAGAGAGAGGUGCAGCUUAUUUUUAAAUUCCCAGAGAGAUGCAGUUUACUGUAGGGGAUUCUGUUUGGGAAUAUGUCAGCAGAAUAAGCAAUGGGAAGACUUGAAUGAUCAACAGCCUCCAGUGACCUGAUAUCACCAGUGAUCCUUUCACAUUGAGCUCACAGAUUGAACAUGAAAGUCAAACAUUCUAAGUUACUCUUGUUUUGUAUCCUUUUAAUAGCGAGUAUAUUCACAGUCGUGUUAGACUGUCAGUGCCUCACUACUGCCUUCCCCCUUCACAAUAAAGGGGCAAUUCUACUGA